GACGAACGCUGGCGGCGUGCUUAACACAUGCAAGUCGAACGGAAAGGCCCUGCUUGCAGGGUACUCGAGUGGCGAACGGGUGAGUAACACGUGGGUGAUCUGCCCUGCACUUCGGGAUAAGCCUGGGAAACUGGGUCUAAUACCGGAUAGGAGCCAUUUUUAGUGUGAUGGUUGGAAAGUUUUUUCGGUGUAGGAUGAGCUCGCGGCCUAUCAGCUUGUUGGUGGGGUAAUGGCCUACCAAGGCGGCGACGGGUAGCCGGCCUGAGAGGGUGGACGGCCACAUUGGGACCGAGAGACGGGCCAGACUCCUAAGGGGGGCAGCAGGGGGGAAAGUUGCACCAAGGGCGGCAGCCUGAUGCAGCGACGCCGCGUGGGGGAUGACGGCCUUCGGGUUGUAAACUCCUUUCGCUAGGGACGAAGCUUUUUGUGACGGUACCUAGAUAAGAAGCACCGGCUAACUACGUG
Molecule: ribosomal RNA, 465 nt
Filed under: uncultured bacterium
Lineage: Bacteria
Description: partial 16S ribosomal RNA
Rfam family: Bacterial small subunit ribosomal RNA
Source: RNAcentral